CUACGUGCCAGCAGCCGCGGUAAUACGUAGGGUGCGAGCGUUAAUCGGAAUUACUGGGCGUAAAGCGAGCGCAGACGGUUACUUAAGCAGGAUGUGAAAUCCCCGGGCUCAACCUGGGAACUGCGUUCUGAACUGGGUGACUAGAGUGUGUCAGAGGGAGGUAGAAUUCCACGUGUAGCAGUGAAAUGCGUAGAGAUGUGGAGGAAUACCGAUGGCGAAGGCAGCCUCCUGGGAUAAUACUGACGUUCAUGCUCGAAAGCGUGGGUAGCAAACAGGAUUAGAUACCCUGGUAGUCCACGCCCUAAACGAUGUCGAUUAGCUGUUGGGCAGCUUGACUGCUUAGUAGCGUAGCUAACGCGUGAAAUCGACCGCCUGGGGAGUACGGUCGCAAGAUUAAAACUCAAAGGAAUUGACGGGGACCCGCACAAGCGGUGGAUGAUGUGGAUUAAUUCGAUGCAACGCGAAGAACCUUACC
RNAcentral lists this ribosomal RNA (475 nucleotides) under uncultured bacterium. RNAcentral's name for it is "bacterial SSU rRNA". It matches the Rfam family "Bacterial small subunit ribosomal RNA", at positions 501 to 975 of the family's 1533-position model. The record is from RNAcentral.